GCCGUGGUGGCGCCCACAACUUUCCUGUGCAGCAUCGGGAACGCUUUCAACUCCCACACAGCCCGUUUGCCUGAGCGUCGCCCUGACCCGGAAAACGCAAGAGCGUGUCGGACCACCCGAGCAAUCUGGGAUCCCACACAAGCGUGCCGUGCCUUCUGGAGAGGAAGUGUUUAGGAAUAUUUUAGAAACAACAACAACGAAAACAAGAACAAAAACAAAACCGGCUGCCAGAGGCUGAAACUCAGAAAUCUCAAAAUUCUUAUGCAUCCCCAGACCUUCUAAACAAUACGAAUAUUCUCCUUGGCAGCCAAUGGAAAUGAAGGCGAGUUACCCCGGAAGGAAGGUGUGCAGGGAAUUGGCAGUGUUGUGCCCAGAGCCACAGGUGCCUCCUCCAAAAGGCUUUUUCAACCAUGGCGAACAACCGACUUUUUCACUCCGUCUGAGGGUCUUCUUGGUCAACGUGGUGCAAAAAGGCUGCGUUAGCAACAGAUUGAGAUUCCUGUAUUUGGCAACCUUCUUCCGAGAAACAUUAUUAUCAUUUUGGUCCAAAUCACACUGCUGGUUGGUGUCAGUGUCGUCUGUAGGUGAGCUGAUGACAGCAAUCCCCCUCCCGACCUCUCCUGACUAUAGAGAAGAGGGGACAGCCUGCGUGGUCUCCGUGCUGGUGAAGAAGCUUGCCAGCACCCCAGGCCCUCUGUGCACACUUUCUUUUGUUUUUAAUGUUUAUUUAUUUUUGAGAGAGACAGAACAUGAGCGGAGGAGGGGCAGAGAGAGAGAGGGAGACACAGAAUCGGAAGCAGGCUCCAGGCCCCGAGCUGGCAGCACAGAGCCCGACGUGGGACUCAAACUCACAGACCGCGAGAUAGUGACCUGA
RNAcentral lists this long non-coding RNA (874 nucleotides) under Felis catus (domestic cat). Its description in RNAcentral is "lncRNA (ENSFCAG00000052905.1)". Lineage: Eukaryota; Metazoa; Chordata; Mammalia; Carnivora; Felidae. The record is from RNAcentral.